This 1307-nucleotide ribosomal RNA is filed under the name Streptomyces diastaticus. RNAcentral's name for it is "bacterial SSU rRNA". It matches the Rfam family "Bacterial small subunit ribosomal RNA", at positions 23 to 1339 of the family's 1533-position model. Lineage: Bacteria; Bacillati; Actinomycetota; Actinomycetes; Kitasatosporales; Streptomycetaceae. The record is from RNAcentral.
CUCAGGACGAACGCUGGCUGCGUGCUUAACACAUGCAAGUCGAACGAUGAACCACCUUCGGGUGGGGAUUAGUGGCGAACGGGUGAGUAACACGUGGGCAAUCUGCCCUGCACUCUGGGACAAGCCCUGGAAACGGGGUCUAAUACCGGAUACUGACCUGCCAAGGCAUCUUGGCGGGUCGAAAGCUCCGGCGGUGCAGGAUGAGCCCGCGGCCUAUCAGCUUGUUGGUGAGGUAAUGGCUCACCAAGGCGACGACGGGUAGCCGGCCUGAGAGGGCGACCGGCCACACUGGGACUGAGACACGGCCCAGACUCGUACGGGAGGCAGCAGUGGGGAAUAUUGCACAAUGGGCGAAAGCCUGAUGCAGCGACGCCGCGUGAGGGAUGACGGCCUUCGGGUUGUAAACCUCUUUCAGCAGGGAAGAAGCGAAAGUGACGGUACCUGCAGAAGAAGCGCCGGCUAACUACGUGCCAGCAGCCGCGGUAAUACGUAGGGCGCAAGCGUUGUCCGGAAUUAUUGGGCGUAAAGAGCUCGUAGGCGGCUUGUCGCGUCGGUUGUGAAAGCCCGGGGCUUAACCCCGGGUCUGCAGUCGAUACGGGCAGGCUAGAGUUCGGUAGGGGAGAUCGGAAUUCCUGGUGUAGCGGUGAAAUGCGCAGAUAUCAGGAGGAACACCGGUGGCGAAGGCGGAUCUCUGGGCCGAUACUGACGCUGAGGAGCGAAAGCGUGGGGAGCGAACAGGAUUAGAUACCCUGGUAGUCCACGCCGUAAACGGUGGGCACUAGGUGUGGGCAACAUUCCACGUUGUCCGUGCCGCAGCUAACGCAUUAAGUGCCCCGCCUGGGGAGUACGGCCGCAAGGCUAAAACUCAAAGGAAUUGACGGGGGCCCGCACAAGCGGCGGAGCAUGUGGCUUAAUUCGACGCAACGCGAAGAACCUUACCAAGGCUUGACAUACACCGGAAACGACCAGAGAUGGGGCCCCCCUUGUGGUCGGUGUACAGGUGGUGCAUGGCUGUCGUCAGCUCGUGUCGUGAGAUGUUGGGUUAAGUCCCGCAACGAGCGCAACCCUUGUCCCGUGUUGCCAGCAACUCUUCGGAGGUUGGGGACUCACGGGAGACCGCCGGGGUCAACUCGGAGGAAGGUGGGGACGACGUCAAGUCAUCAUGCCCCUUAUGUCUUGGGCUGCACACGUGCUACAAUGGCCGGUACAAUGAGCUGCGAUACCGCAAGGUGGAGCGAAUCUCAAAAAGCCGGUCUCAGUUCGGAUUGGGGUCUGCAACUCGACCCCAUGAAGUCGGAGUCGCUAGU